This is a long non-coding RNA of Bubalus bubalis (water buffalo), 723 nucleotides long. RefSeq lists it as uncharacterized. The transcript is spliced from 3 exons. The record is from RefSeq and is a predicted model, not a curated record. Lineage: Eukaryota; Metazoa; Chordata; Mammalia; Artiodactyla; Bovidae.
UUGAGGUCACAGUGCUCAGUGACAGAAGCCAGCCACGAAACAGCAGAUAUGAUUCCUCUUACACGAGGUCCCUAGAGGAGCCAAACUCAUGGGGACAGCAAGCUGGAAGUUAAACAAAUAAAGCCUUCACAAGAGGAAUAACGCACCAAACUGAUCUCCAUCCACCCCUGAGUGAACGUCCAUCCACGUGACACCAACUUGGCUUGGGAACAGAGAGACCGCAGAAUCCAGGACGCACGUGGGAGGCAGAGAAGCACCCAGGGAGGAGCCCCAGAGUAGGCCCUGCAGGAGGCGAGUCAUGGCAGGCGUGCCAGUCAGCUCACAGAGUGACCCUGAAUGCACAGCGCGGCACAGGAGGCCACUGCUUAUGGGAAAUCGACGUUUAAUGGAUAAUCAGCCAUGCACUGAGCCUGAGUAUUUUGUGUAUUUUGUUUAAUUCUUACAGUCACCCAAGGAGGAAAGAACCAUCAUUCCCACAUUCCAGAUGAAAAAACUGAGGUUUCCAAGGGCCAGGGGGCCUGCCCAGCAUCAAUUGGUCAGUUGGGAAGCCCCCUCUGUGGCCCUUCUCAGUCUCUAGCACAUUGGUUUGACCUCUGACCUUUGAGGGUGCAAGGGGCAAGCUCAAGUUCAGAACUUUGGUAGAAAAUAAUUUCUUUUAUUAUAUAGAAAUGUCUAAACUUUAUCAUCCACCAAAAUCAUUUGACCUGUAUCUCUGAUUUUUUA